This 253-nucleotide ribosomal RNA is filed under the name uncultured bacterium. Its description in RNAcentral is "partial 16S ribosomal RNA". It matches the Rfam family "Bacterial small subunit ribosomal RNA", at positions 524 to 776 of the family's 1533-position model. The record is from RNAcentral.
UACAUAGGGUGCAAGCGUUAAUCGGAAUUACUGGGCGUAAAGCGUGCGCAGGCGGUUCUAUAAGACAGAUGUGAAAUCCCCGGGCUCAACCUGGGAACUGCAUUUGUGACUGUAGAGCUGGAGUACGGUAGAGGGGGAUGGAAUUCCGCGUGUAGCAGUGAAAUGCGUAGAUAUGCGGAGGAACACCGAUGGCGAAGGCAAUCCCCUGGACCUGUACUGACGCUCAUGCACGAAAGCGUGGGGAGCAAACAGG